RNAcentral lists this ribosomal RNA (409 nucleotides) under uncultured bacterium. RNAcentral describes it as "partial 16S ribosomal RNA". It matches the Rfam family "Bacterial small subunit ribosomal RNA", at positions 355 to 755 of the family's 1533-position model. The record is from RNAcentral.
UGGGGAAUUUUGGACAAUGGGGGAAACCCUGAUCCAGCCAUCCCGCGUGUGCGAUGAAGGCCUUCGGGUUGUAAAGCACUUUUGGCAGGAAAGAAACGUCGCGGGUUAAUACCCCGCGAAACUGACGGUACCUGCAGAAUAAGCACCGGCUAACUACGUGCCAGCAGCCGCGGUAAUACGUAGGGUGCAAGCGUUAAUCGGAAUUACUGGGCGUAAAGCGUGCGCAGGCGGUUCGGAAAGAAAGAUGUGAAAUCCCAGAGCUUAACUUUGGGAACUGCAUUUUUAACUACCGGGCUAGAGUGUGUCAGAGGGAGGUGGAAUUCCGCGUGUAGCAGUGAAAUGCGUAGAUAUGCGGAGGAACACCGAUGGCGAAGGCAGCCUCCUGGGAUAACACUGACGCUCAUGCACG